UUUUAUGGAGAGUUUGAUCCUGGCUCAGGAUGAACGCUGGCGGCGUGCCUAAUACAUGCAAGUCGAGCGAACGGACGAGAAGCUUGCUUCUCUGAUGUUAGCGGCGGACGGGUGAGUAACACGUGGAUAACCUACCUAUAAGACUGGGAUAACUUCGGGAAACCGGAGCUAAUACCGGAUAAUAUUUUGAACCGCAUGGUUCAAAAGUAAAAGACGGUCUUGCUGUCACUUAUAGAUGGAUCCGCGCUGCAUUAGCUAGUUGGUAAGGUAACGGCUUACCAAGGCAACGAUGCAUAGCCGA
RNAcentral lists this ribosomal RNA (301 nucleotides) under Staphylococcus aureus. RNAcentral describes it as "partial 16S ribosomal RNA". It matches the Rfam family "Bacterial small subunit ribosomal RNA", at positions 1 to 290 of the family's 1533-position model. Lineage: Bacteria; Bacillati; Bacillota; Bacilli; Caryophanales; Staphylococcaceae. The record is from RNAcentral.